RNAcentral lists this ribosomal RNA (525 nucleotides) under uncultured Acidobacteriota bacterium. Its description in RNAcentral is "bacterial SSU rRNA". It matches the Rfam family "Bacterial small subunit ribosomal RNA", at positions 384 to 896 of the family's 1533-position model. Lineage: Bacteria; Pseudomonadati; Acidobacteriota. The record is from RNAcentral.
UGAUCCAGCAACGCCGCGUGGAGGAUGAAGGCCUUCGGGUUGUAAACUCCUGUCAGUAGGGACGAAAGGAGCGGGGACAAUACCCCCCGUCUCCCUGACGGUACCUGACAGAGGAAGCCCCCAGCUAACUCCGUGCCAGCAGCCGCGGUAAUACGGAGGGGGCAAGCGUUAUUCGGAAUUAUUGGGCGUAAAGGGCGCGUAGGCGGCUCCGUAAGUCAGGGGUGAAAUCCCUCGGCUCAACCGAGGAACUGCCUCUGAAACUACAGAGCUUGAGUCCGGGAGAGGGUGGUGGAAUUCCCAGUGUAGCGGUGAUAUGCGUAGAUACUGGGAGGAACACCAGUGGCGAAGGCGGCCACCUGGACCGGUACUGACGCUGAGGCGCGAAAGCGUGGGGAGCAAACAGGAUUAGAUACCCUGGUAGUCCACGCCGUAAACGAUGGGCACUCGGUGCUGCGGGUGUCGACCCCUGCAGUGCCUUAGGUAACCCGUUAAGUGCCCCGCCUGGGGAGUACGGUCGCAAGGCUG